Molecule: ribosomal RNA, 229 nt
Filed under: uncultured bacterium
Lineage: Bacteria
Description: partial 16S ribosomal RNA
Rfam family: Bacterial small subunit ribosomal RNA
Source: RNAcentral
UGCGUAGGCGGAAUAUUAAGUCAGUGGUGAAAUCCUGCGGCUCAACCGUAGAACUGCCAUUGAUACUGAUAUUCUUGAAUAUAGUUGAGGUAGGCGGAAUGUGUAAUGUAGCGGUGAAAUGCUUAGAUAUUACACAGAACAUCGAUUGCGAAGGCAGCUUACUAAGCUAUGAUUGACGCUGAGGUACGAAAGCGUGGGGAGCGAACAGGAUUAGAUACCCUGGUAGUCC